UCCGUUCAAAAUGAGUUUCCGCA
RNAcentral lists this small nuclear RNA (23 nucleotides) under Arabidopsis thaliana (thale cress). Its description in RNAcentral is "snRNA_01643". Lineage: Eukaryota; Viridiplantae; Streptophyta; Magnoliopsida; Brassicales; Brassicaceae. The record is from RNAcentral.